This 25177-nucleotide long non-coding RNA is filed under the name Gossypium barbadense (sea-island cotton). RNAcentral describes it as "long non-coding RNA (GBAR_LNC018906)". Lineage: Eukaryota; Viridiplantae; Streptophyta; Magnoliopsida; Malvales; Malvaceae. The record is from RNAcentral.
CCUUGUUUAGUUUAUUUAUCUAAAAUGUAAAAUUUAUUAUUUAAUUUAUAAGAAUAAUAUUAACUAAAAACAAUUUUUUAAAAUCAAUAUUAUUUAUUGUGAUUUAAGAACAAGAUUAAAUAAAGCUGUAAUAGGGCCCAAUUGACCCAGGUCCAAACAAAAUUAAAAAACAGUCCAACAAAUACAGGUCCAAAACUAACCUAAACCCCAAAUCAUUAAACCAAACCCCAAAACAACCCUGGCCCAAAGAAAAAGAAAGAACCCUAGCCCUAAGGAGCGCCGCAGCAAGCCUUCAGGUGCGCCCAGCAGCCUCGCGUCGCACCUAACGCCCAGUCGCCGCACAACUCGGAGGUCGACCCCUCUCCACACACGUCACCUGUGAAAACACGGACUUAGAGAGUCCCAGAGAGAAGAAGCAGCAAAAAACAGCAUUUAGAUUAUUUUAUUUUCUUUAUUUUCGGCCUAUAAAAUGCCUAUCAAAUCUGUAAAAGAGGGGGGGGGGGAUAUACAGAGAGAUGGAUAAAAAAUUGAAAGAAAAGCAGAGAAUACACAGUUUUAAGGUGAAUCGGUUUUUUUUUUAUAUUUAUGUUUUCUUCUUCUUCUUUUUUUUUGCGUUUUAAAAAAAAAACAAAUAAUAACAAAGAAAAGGGGAAAAAUUUUACCCCAUUCACCAAGGACGCCGGACCGGUGGCCGUUUCCGUCGUGAUCGGAGCGCCGUUGUGGGCCGAAGGCGGUGCGAGGACGGUAGGGUCCCAAGCCCUAGCAGAGCAUUAGAGAAACGUUUUUUUAUUUUUAUUUUUUUAUUUUUUUUUCUUUCAUUCGGCUUCAAAUGACUUUUGAGGGGAAAAUUUGGUUUUAAAUAACGUUCAAAACGGCGUCGUUUCGCCCUGGUGUAACCCGCGCGGUGACCCGACCCGAAGGGGAGGAUCCGCGCGCUCUGACGUCACUUGGGCUAUUUGCGCAAUUGGCCCCUCCUAUUUGCAGCGUAAUUCAAUUAGACUUGUUUUGUUUUCUUAGAAAUUGGGCCGCACAUUUAAUUUUUGUUUCAAUUUGGCCCCUUUGCUGCGCAGUGUUUUGUGAGGACGGGAUAAUUUCUCUUUUAGUCCCCCAUAGUUACGCGCGUGUUCAAGUGGGCCCUUUCUUUUAAAAUUUUAUUCAAAAUUCGCCCCAUUUUUUGUUUUUAAGUUCAAUUUAGCCCAAUUCAACUAUUUUUCUCGUUUUUUUUUAAAUAUUUAUUAUUGUUAUAUUAUUUAUUAUUAUGAUUAUUAUUAUUUCUAUAUUCUUAUACGUAUAUAUAUAUUUUAAAUAUAUACAUUUUUAUAUAUGUAUUUUUAAACUUUUUGAAUAACUUGCAUACCUUUUAUACAUACGUUAUAUAUAUGUAUAUAUAUUUUUUUUAUAUUUAAAAAAAAACUUUUAUAUGCUUUAUAUUUUAUGUAUAUACUUAUACAUUUUUUUAUUUUUAUAUACACAUAUACAUUUUUUUAUCUUUAUUUUAUUUUCAUAAUUUUCACAUACAUAUAUACAUAUACAUGCAUUUUAUUAGUUUUUUUUUGGGCUUGAUGUAUUUCGUUUUUUUUUUCUGUUUGUAAAUUUACUUGUAUAUUGUAUUUGUAUAUAUUUGUAAAUAUUUAUCCAUUUAUGUUUGAAAUUAGGGUAUCUGUUCCAUGUUUUACCUUAACCCUUUUCAGCAUCCAUUUUAAAAAUAUUUUUUUUGAUUUUCUCAAGGAAUUUAAAUCAUCCUGUUUUAUAAUUUUAAAUAUUUGGUAUUCAUAAUUCUCAUGAAAGAUCGUGUCCUAACUUACUGGAUCGCGAUUAUUUUUCGAUGAAUUUAGGAAGCCAAGUAUUUGUUUUGCAACAAAUUCACAAAUUUUAAAUAAAAGCUUAUUCUCGGGAAUUCAGAAUGUUGGGUCCUAACUUACUGGUCAUGACAUUUUCUUCUCGAAAUAAGAAUUUUCAAAAACAAAAGGCAAUAUUCGGGUAUUUUGAAGAUUUAAAAACAUUGUGUCCUAACUUACUAGGUGUGGUGUUUUAUUUCUUUGAAAUAAGAAUUGUCUUAUUAUUUUAAUCCAUUCAUGAGAUAAAAAGUUUUCUUUUAAAUUCUUUUCAAAUUUUCGACACUAAGGCAUUUUAAAAAAUCAAUUUGGUACCAAUUUUGGGCGUUACGAGGGUGCUAAUCCUUCCUCGUGCGUAACCGACUCCCGAACCUGUUUUCUCAAUUUUCGCAGGCCAAAAUUAUUUUUAAGGUGGGCCGAUCACACCUUAAUAAAGGUUCGGUGGCGACUCCCAUUUUCGUUUUUAAAAGUCGACAACUGAAAUUUUUGUUUUCAAAAGACGGUUUCGACAGCUUGGCGACUCCGCUGGGGACCCUAGAGAGUCGAGCCAUAAACUGAUCAUAUUUGUCCUUGUGUCGAAAAUUACAAGUUUUUUAAAAAUUCAUGAGUUCCCUUUGCGCUCAUUGAUGUUUUUUAUCAUGGUAUUUUGGAAACUUUGCAUUUGCAUUUUGCAUUUUGCCCUUAAGUGGGAGUAAGAAACUAGUCCUUCGUGAGGUUUUCACCUCCGUGCAGGGUAGUGGAUCGCUUCCGGGAUACAUCCGUACCUAUGUCUUCGUGAGAUUUUCAUCUCCGUGCAGCCAUAGGGAAAUGUGUCCCCCUGAACUGAACUCGAUCUAUAUGAGCCUAUAAUGGGUGAGGAUUGAGAAAUCUGCUGGUUCGGGUACCCUUACUCUAGAAACUAAGCCUCAUAUAGUGAGCUUUAGGAACUUGCCUUAGGUAGAACUACUCCAAAACCCUAGUAGAUUCCUAAUAAGUGUUCUUGCCAUGUUAUUAUAUUUUUAUAUGUGAUACUGACUUGUUUCAUUUUGCUUUGAUUGCAUGACAUCACGAUUGCAUGACAUUUCAUUGUAAAGGCGUUGGUUCAUAUUCGGUUGCCAUAUAGAAAGUUUAUCAUGGGAAAUGGGUUUCUUGAUAGAGUGGAAGACAAUGCGGCUGUCCGGACCUGGUCUAAGAAGAUACAGCUUGAAAAAGGUGAUAGUUUGGCCGUGGGAUACGUAUCAGAGUUAUGGGACUUCACUCGUGUUAGUGUAGCUCAGAACAACUUGCAGGAAUUGAAGGAGAUUUGGGAUCAAUGGGAUAAUGAGGUUAGGCAGUUAUUCUAUUUAAAUUAUGGGGAUUUACCUUAUUUACUUGACAUGAAGGUAGACAAGCGUCUGUUUCGAGCUCUUGCCCAAUUUUGGAAUCCGGCCUACAGUUGCUUUACAUUCGGGAAGGUUGAUCUGGUGCCUACAAUAGAGAAGUACACGGCUUUACUUCGGUGUUCAAAGGUUCAGGAGGAUAGAAUUUAUUCAAAAGCGAUGAAUGUACCAACCUUCAUGAGGAAGUUGAUGAGUAUAACAGGGAUGAGUGAGCAGUGGGUUAUAGCUCGGAUUAAGCAAAAAGGGGAUAGUAGGUGCAUUCCUUGGAAAAGCUUGAAGGACCUCAUCUUAGUACACCCAGAUGCGAGGAAGAAAGUAGACAUUUUUGCUCUAAGUAUAUAUGGUCUAAUCUUGUUUCCUAAGAUUUUGGGACAUGUUGACGAGACGGUCACUGAUUUAUUCGAUCGGCUUGAUAAGGGAGUUACACCAGUCCCGGUAAUUUUGGCAGAAACCUUUAGAUCAUUGAAUACAUGUCGAAGAAUGGGAGAGGGUAGAUUUAUUGGAUGUGCGCAGCUACUACUUGCGUGGUUCCACAGCCACUUUUGGAAGGUUGAUAAGGUUUCAUAUCAAGUCUUUUCUGAGAGUUAUUCACCGUUGAAAGAGAUAGUGGCUACGUCAAGGAGUGAUGACAUCUCGGAGGAGAAAUGGAUGGCAAUCUUUCAGAGUCUGCAAGAAGAAUAUAUCGAGUGGAGAGCUCCGUGGUUGCUUCUAGAUGAUAUCCUAUAUAGGUGUGGGGAUUUCGACUGGGUUCCAUUGCUCGGGAUUUGGGGAGCUGUUGGUUAUGCCCCAUUGCUAGUAUUAAGACAAUACCGGUCAAGAUAGUUUGUGCCUGCCACUCAAGGAUUAGCUGAGUGUGAAUUCUCAUACAAGGAUGAUGGCUAUAAAAGAAAGGCUCCUGAGAUGGCCAAUGCGUGGAAUCAGACUCGCCGAAUGAAGAGAUUAGCCUUGGGUCCAAUGACAACUUCUGACUAUAACAAAUGGCGUGUUAGGAGGAUUAAUGACAACAUUCCUGGGCCAAGUUCAGAAAAUAGUCAGUCGAUAGAGGAGCAUUUGCGCGUCAUCCCUUCUGAGCUGGAAAUCAUAAAGCAAGACCUCGAAAGAAGGAAUGCAGAAUUAGAAAAUAAAAUAGAGCAAAUGGAGGAAGAAAAGGUGAAUUUAAAGUUGGACAUAGAUGUUCAAAAGCAGGAAACCGAAGGCCUGAGAAAAGGGAAGCGUAAAGUUGAGGAAGAUCUGAACAGCUUGAAGACGGAUUAUAAAAGACUACGUCUGUCAGUAAGAACUGCUGGGUUGGGGAAAACCUCAGAAUAGUGGCGUCAAGAGGUUCAAGUAGAAAAAGCCAAGGCCGGUAGAUGGGAAGAAAGAUUCCAGGAAGCCCAGAUGCAAAACAGAUCGCUCGAGAAGAAUUUGUUAGAAAAUCAAGAUGAAAGAGAUAAAUUAAAAGCUAGAGUGGCUGAACUUGAGAAAAUUGUUUAUCAAUACCGAAAUCGUAACUCGGUGGCAGAACUAUAAGCAAGUUUAAGUAGAAUCGAGCAAAUGAAGAAAACUAUAGAAGAACUAGAAGUGGCAUUACAGAACGGUGAAGCCAGGAUUGAGUAUUUGGAGGCAAACAAAGAUCAUCAAAGCGAACAGCUUCACUAUCUCCAGAAUCAGGUCAGAAGCAGGGAUCGUGUUAUGGGACAAGCCUUGGUUCAGAUUCGAGAAGUAGCUGAUCACUUACAAACCCUGGCAGUACAAGCUGACACAUUGAGCGUAAAGUAUGAAUAAGAGUCAGACCGGGGACGGGAGUUAGCCUCGUUACUUUAAAAAAUCAAGGUCUUAAGUAUUAGGGCAAAGUAGUAUUUGUAGUCUAUUCUAUGUAAAGGGAUUUGUUUUCUAAUAAAGUUUUCCAAGUGAAAUUGAAUCAUAAUUAAUGCCUUUCUCGCAUUCAUCUCAUGCAUCGCAUCAUAUGCAUUCAAAACCUUUAAUUGAUCCUAAUUAAUUAAAAUUAUUUCUCAGUUAACCUGGAAACCAACCAACCAACCCGACACCGAUACGGCACUCGAGCAAAGACAAAAGAUAUGGAUCAGAGAUUAGAAAAGCUUGAACAGCACCAGAAUGAGAUGCGAGACCGGCUUCAGCUACAAAUGCAGGAACGGUUAGGCAAGAUGAAGUAAGAAAUGUCUGAGAAGAUGCGGGAAUCUCAAGAGGAUAUAGUGGCAAAGUUAACCCGAUUGAUAACAAAGGGAGGUGACAAAGGAAAGGGCCCCAUGGCAGAUGUUGAUGAGGCAAACGAUGAUGAACUUUUCUAUCCUCCAGGUUUUACCCCUCCACAUGAGCGAGCUCAAGCUGAAUACCCGCGCAAAUCUACUGUCACCAUCAUGCCUCAGCAAUUUCGAGCUGGUAUUUCAAACCUCCAAACUGGGCCGGGUUUUAAUCCCGAAAACAAUCCUAUUAACACUGCCAUCCCUGACUUUGAUGAAGUGGUUGAGAAGGAAAGAGUGAAGGAAGAGUUACCGAAGCAGUUGGAAGAAAGAUGCAAGUGGCUCGAAGAGAAGUUCAAGGCGAUGGAGGUUGCUGAGAGUUAUCGAGGCAUUGACGCGAAAGAGCUGAGUUUAGUGCCAGAUUUAGUACUCCCUCAUAAAUUUAAGAUGCCUGAAUUUGAAAAGUACAAUGGGACAAGCUGCCCAGUAGCUAACAUCACCAUGUUCUGCAGGCGAAUGACGGGUUAUGUUAACAACGACCAACUCUUAAUACACUGUUUCCAAGACAGCCUUACUGGGGCAGCAUCCAAGUGGUACAAUCAGUUGAGUCGUGCCACGAUUGGAUCAUGGAGAGACUUGGCACAAUCGUUCAUGAAACAAUAUAGUCAUGUGACUGACAUGGCUCUUGACAGAAUCACCCUUCAGAACAUGGAGAAAAAGCCGAGUGAAAGUUUCAGGUAGUACGCACAGAGAUGGAGGGAGGUCGCAGUCCAAGUUCAGCCACCACUCCUGGAAAAGGAAAUGAACAUGUUGUUCAUCAACACCCUGAAGGCACCGUUCAUUACACAUAUGUUAGGAAGUGCCACAAAAAGCUUUCCUGACAUAGUCAUGAACGGCGAGAUGAUUGAGAACGCCAUCAGGAGUGGGAAGAUCGAUGCUGGAGAGAGUAACAGAAGAUCGACCUCGAGGAAUAAGGAGAGUGAGGUGAACAACACGAGCAUGUACAACAAGGGUUACUCGAAGUCAGUAACAGUGAGUCAGCUAGGAAAGGUGGCUGCUAGUCAGCAAAACUCGUCGAGACAGGAGGUCAGUACAAGGCGAAAUGUUGAGAGGCCUCAAUUCACGCUGUAAUGGCCCAAAUUUGAGGUUAUCGGAAUAGUGGUUUCGGGACCACAAAUCCGAUGAGAAAAAUUUUAUUUUUCUUAUAUUUUUAUGGUCUACAAUUUCACAAAAUGAUUUUUUGAAAAUUUCGUUCGAAAAUUUCGACGUUUGGGCACUCAAUUUAGUCAAAAGGACUAAAUUGUAAAAAGUGCAAAAGUUGAGUUCUACAUGUUAGAGGUGUCCAAUUGUUAUGAAACUUUAAAUUGGAGGUCCUUAUAUGGUAAUUAUACCAUUGGUAACUUGGUAGACAAAAAUGGACAUGAGAUAAGUGAAAUAGAAAAUUUUUAAGUUAGGGGCAAUUUGGUAAUCUAGUAAUUAAAAUGAAUUAAAAGGGAAAAAGAUGGCAAAAAUCAUCAUCUUCUUCAUAUGAACGAAAUCAGCAAGGGGGGAAGCCAUAGUUAGGGUUUUCAAGCUUCCAAGAUCCAUAGUAAGUGAUCCCAAGCCCCGUUUUUAAUGUUCUUUACGUUUUUGAGAUCCCGGUAGCUUAAUUUAGCUUAUUCUAGCAAUAAUUUAACCUAGGGUUUAUAUUUGGAAAAAUACCCAUAGGUGAAAGUGUUUAUUUUGAUGUUUUAUGAUAGAAUAUGAAGCUAUAAAUUAUGUUAAACAACUUUUGCUAAGCGAUUUUAAGUGAAAACGAGUAAAACGACAUAAUCGGUAAAAAUACCUAAUGUUCAUAAGUACAUGUUAGAGUGGGAAUUUGAUGUUGCCAUAGAAGGGAAAAAUGUUCAGAAUGUUAUAAAACAUAAGAAUAAGAGAUGAAGUUUAAUUUCCGAGCCUUGGGGCAAAAAUGUAAUUAUGUAAAAGUUUAGGGGCAAAAUUGUAAUUUUGAAAAGUUAGAGUUGAGGGCUGUUUUGAUGAAUGUGAGAAUUAAAUAAGUUAAAUUUGCUAUUUUAGAUCAAGAAGAACGAAACUCGAGGUUAGACAAAGGGAAGAAUAAAGUUGAAGACUAAGUUGUUGAAUUGGACUAUAAUUGGUACCGAGGUAAGUUUAUGGUAAAUAAAUGCAAUAUUUCAAUAUUUAUUAUCAAUGCUGUUAUUUUCCAGCAACUAUGAAUUUAUUUUAUGAAUUUAUUUGAUGAUGAUCUAAGCAUGAAAUGAUAGAGAAUUAAAAUUAAAAAGUCCCGUUGAUACAUAAGGAUGGUACUGGAUACGAAUGUCAUGACAUUUGGGUAAAGAGAUCCCAUGUAAGACCAUGUCUGGGACAUGGCAUUGGCAUCCUUGAGAUCAUGAGAGGUCCCCUGUAAGACCAUGUCUGGGACAUGGCAUGGGCACCAAGACGAGAGGUCUCAUGUAAGACCAUGUCUGGGACAUGGCCUUGGCACCGAGAUGAGAGGUCCCCUAUAAGACCAUGUCUGGGACAUGGCAUGGGCACCAACAUGAGAACAUCCCAUGUAAGACCAUGUCUGGGACAUGGCUUUGGCAUGUUAUUAUCAGAAGAGACCCGAGUAUCCUUAUUAUUCCAAUGUAGCUCAACGGGCUUGUAAACGAAUCAUGUUCAUGAAAGUUCAGUUUAAAGCAUAAAUGGCAAGCUCAGGUAAGUUGUAAGACUUAAGAACUUAUUAUACUACCAAUUGAUGUUCAACGAUGCAGCAAGGAUUGAGUAAGUUAUGCACACAAGUAUUCUAAGUAAACAAGUAAGAUAACUAGUAUGAGAUUAACUAAAGAGUAAACUAGAGAUAUAGAUAUUGAGUUUAAUUAUUUAAGUUAAAUAUUGUUAUUUAUUUGCUAGUAAACUUACUAAGCUUUAUGCUUACUUCUUUUAUUUCUCUUUCUCUUAUAGUAUUGCAAAGCUACUUCAAGGAUCCUAAAGAAGUUGGAGAUCGUCCACACUAUCAACUACAACUGCUCGGUAUUUUAUAUCGAAACACGUUUGAGUUAUGGCAUGUAUAGGGAUUUAGUUAUUUUGUAUAUUUGUAAUGAUGAUUUUGCUAAUGAGUGAUGUGUAAGUAUUUGAUGAUGUAUGGUUAUUAAAAUGGUUAAGGAUGAAGGUGUUUGUUGUUAUGAAAGAUUAGGUGAUAAAUUAUGCAUGGAAAUCAUGAAAGGAUAAAAUUUUGCAAAGAAACAGAAUUCAGGCAGCAACAGUGACGUGAUUUGAAAAAUCACGCAAGAUAGUAUAAAAUGAAUUAGAGGGUGAAUAAUAUAUGGAAUUAAAGCUUGUUGAGUCUAUCUUCAUGGAAAAAUAACGGUGUAGCGAAAGGAAUUUUAUAUUUUAAGAUAUGUGAAUUUUCGUGAGACAGGGUCAGAAUAGUUUUUGGUGUCCCCUGUUUUGAGUUUAGAAAAUCAUUAAAAAUUUUACAAAAAUAGUUAUGAGUUAUAGUUUAUAUGUAUAGAUUUAUCAUUGAGUCUAUUUUCUGUAGAAACAAGUAAGAACUUCAUAUGAAAAUCCCACAGUGAGAAAAAUUAUUUUUAGUGACUAGAGGUCAGGGCAGUCAGGUGGUGAAACAGGGGAUACUUUAACUAAUAAACUGUACUAAUUUGCUGAACCAAAAAUUCUAAAAAUUUUAUGGUGAGUAGAUAUAUGAGUUUAGUUUCAUGGAAAAUUUACAGAAUUAAAUUUCGAGUUCUGUAUCUUAAGUUAUAAUUAAUUUAGUAACUGCUGCGUGAUUGGACAGAUUUGCUGCGAAUAAUGAAAUAAAAUUUCAAACCUAGUUUUUAUGCUCCGAAUUGGUAAGAUAAGCUAAGUAAUGCCUCGUGCUCGACUCCGGAAACGGUCUCGGGUAAGGGGUGUUACAUUUUGUUGGUAUCAGAGCAGGUUUAGUCGGUUCUCGGAAAUACUCAGUAAGAAUAAGAGUCUACCUAUACAUGCCAUACUUAUAUAUUUUGAUAGUGUGACGACUCCUGACGAUUUUAAAAUGUUUUCUUUUAUAGUUAUGGAUCCUGAACGAGCUAGUACAGAUGAAGUAGAGAGUAAUGCGCCUAUUCCCGCAGAAGGGACGGUGCCAUCAGAUGUUAAUGUUAGUGAAAGACCUGCAUCAGAUAGACAGGGAGGAGGAGCUAGAGAAGCCUUCUUCCAAGCCAUGACUGAUUGGUUUGCCGAGUUCGUUCGUACGAAUCCGGCUGUAAGACCUCCACCCCCUCAAGAUUCACAGGUUCCCCAUGUAGCUUCCCCAGCUGCAGGUAUAUUUAUCAGGGAGAGACCACCUGUUGAUAAGAUUAGGAAGCAAGGGGCUGAAGAAUUUCGGGCUACCAAAGAUGACGAUGCAGAAAAAGCAGAAUUCUGGCUUGAGAAUAUAAUCAGGGUUUUUGAAGAAUUAUCUUGUACACCGGAAGAAUGUAUGAAGUGUGUGGUCUCACUUCUCAGAGAUUCCGCUUAUCAUUGGUGGAAGACUCUCGUGUCUAUCAUACCGAGUGAGAGGGUUACUUGGGAUUUCUUUCAGGAGGAGUUUCGAAAGAAGUACAUCAGCCAGAGAUUUACAGAGCAGAAAAGGAAGGAGUUUCUUGAGCUAAAACAAGGUAAGAUGUCCGUGACUGAAUAUGAACGCGAAUUUGUCAGACUUAGUAAGUAUGCUCGGGAAUUUGUAUCCACCGAAGCCAACAUGUGCAAGAGAUUUGAAGAUGGGCUUAAUGAUGACAUCCGACUAUCAGUGGGUGUAUUGGAAAUCAGAGAGUUUGUUGUUCUGGUAGAAAGAGCUUGUAAAGUAGAAGACUUGUUAAAAGAAAAAGAGAAGAGCAAAGUUGAAACUGGAGCGCAGGAUACAAAGAAGAGGCAAAUGAGUAAAUCAUUUCAGUCUACAUCUAAGAGGCCUAGGGAGCUCUCUAGCGGAUCACAUUUUCCACAUAUAUAUUCUGGUCGAAGCAGAAGUAGAAGAUUCAAGGGUUUUAGAGCUCAAACCACUAUAGUUGCAAGUACUGGCAGUACUCGACCUCCUAGACCGGAAUGUCCUCAAUGUGGGAGACGCCACCCCGGAGAGUGUAGAGCAGGUGAAAAUGUUUGUUUCAGAUGUGGAGCAUCCGAUCACUUUAUUCGGGAUUGUCCUGAAACAACUAAAAGAGAAGAAAUAACGAGUGCGAGAUCAGGUAAUGCUCCUACCAGAGGUAGACCGCAGAGAAACCCAGGAGUGGGGGCAAGUAAUAGGGGUGCAUUCAAAGAUUCAGCGGUUAGAUCAGAUGUUAGAGCACCUGCAAGAUCAUAUGCUAUUCGAGCUCGUGAAGAGGCGUCCUCUCCUGAUGUAAUUGCGGGUACAUUUUCUCUCUAUGAUACUACUGUUAUUGCAUUAAUUGAUCCUGGCUCUGCACAUUCAUAUAUAUGCACAAAAUUAGCAUUUGUUAAAAAUUUGUCUGUUGAACCUACUGAAUUUAUGGUUAAAGUCUCGAACCCCCUGGGCCAGUUUGUGAUAGUGGAUAAAGUUUGUAAAAAUUGUCCACUGAUGGUAAAAGGUAUUUGUUUCCCGGUUGACUUGAUGUUAUUGCCUUUUGAUGAGUUUGAUGUGAUAUUGGGCAUGGAUUGGUUAACUCAGCAUGAUGCAGUAGUAAACUGUAGAUAAAAAUAUGUUGUGUUGAAAUGCCAGAAUGGAGAAUUACUUUGGGUUAAAUCUAAUCAGACAGAGGGAUUAUCCGAUAUGAUUUCAGUUAUGACAGCUCAGAGGUGUGUUAGAAAAGGGUAUGAUGUUUAUUUGGUGUAUGUGUUGGAUACUAAAGUAUCUGAGUCAAAGGUACAGGCAGUGCCAGUUGUAUGUGAAUUUUCUGAUGUAUUUCCAGAGGAAUUACCAGGGUUGCCACCAGAAAGAGAAGUGGAAUUUUCUAUAGAUUUGAUUCCGGGAACUGCCCCAAUUUCCAUAGCUCCGUAUCGUAUGGCUCCUACAGAAUUAAAAGAGUUAAAGGCACAGUUACAGGAACUUGUUGACAGAGGUUUUGUUCGUCCGAGUCAUUCACCUUGGGGUGCUCCAGUUCUGUUUGUGAAAAAGAAGGACGGGUCUUUGAGAUUGUGUAUUGACUAUCGGCAGCUUAAUAAGGUAACUAUAAAGAAUAAGUACCCAUUGCCUCGAAUUGAUGACUUAUUUGAUCAACUGAAAGGUGCCACAGUAUUUUCAAAGAUUGAUCUCCGAUCGGGUUAUUAUCAGUUACGGGUAAAAGAGCCAGAUGUGCCAAAUACAGCUUUCAGAACCAGGUAUGGGCAUUAUGAGUUUCUGGUUAUGCCGUUUGGGUUGACUAAUGCACCUGCAGUAUUCAUGGAUUUGAUGAACCGGAUAUUUAGACCGUAUCUAGAUAGGUUUGUAGUAGGUUUUAUUGAUGACAUUUUAGUUUAUUCUCGGGAUGAAACUGAGCAUGCAGAACAUUUGAAAAUAGUGUUGCAAAUUCUGCGUGAAAAGAAACUUUAUGCUAAAUUCAGUAAAUGUGAAUUUUGGCUUCGAGAGGUAGGCUUUCUCGGACAUAUUGUAUCCACAGAAGGCAUCAGGGUAGAUCCGAGUAAAAUUUCAGCUAUUGUCAAUUGGAGUCCACCGAAGAAUGUAUCUGAAGUUAGAAGUUUCUUGGGUUUAGCUGGUUAUUAUCGGAGAUUUGUACAAGGGUUUUCUAUGAUAGCUUCUCCAAUGACCCGUUUAUUACAGAAAGAUGUUAAAUUUGAAUGGACAGAAAAAUGCCAGCAAAGUUUCGACCGAUUGAAGGAGUUGUUAACGAAAGCACCUGUGUUGGUACAGCCUGAAUCGGGUAAGGAAUUUAUUAUUUAUAGUGAUGCAUCAUUAAAUGGUUUGGGUUGUGUUUUGAUGCAAGAAGAUAAAGUAAUAGCCUAUGCUUCAAGACAACUUAAGCCACAUGAAAGAAACUACCCGGUACAUGAUCUCGAGUUAGCUGCUAUUGUAUUUGCAUUGAAAAUAUGGCGGCAUUAUUUGUAUGGUGAAAAGUGUCAUAUUUAUACUGAUCACAAAAGCUUGAAAUAUUUGAUGACACAGAAAGAUUUGAAUUUGAGACAACGCAGGUGGCUUGAAUUGAUAAAGGAUUAUGAUUUGGUUAUUGAUUACCAUCCGGGUAAGGCUAACGUGGUAGCUGAUGCUUUGAGUCGAAAAUCUCUAUUUGCUUUACGAGCUAUGAAUACCCGGUUGUCACUGUAUAAUGAUGGUUCAAUCAUAGCUGAAUUGAGAGCUAAAUCGACAUUUCGUCAACAAAUAUGUGAAGCUCAGAGGAAUGAUGAGAAAUUACAGGCUAAACGGGUGCAUUGUGAGUCAGGUAAUGAUUCAGAAUUUCAGAUUGGAACUGAUGGUUGUUUAUUAUUCAGAGGCAGAGUAUGUGUACCGAAGAAUUCAGAACUUGUACAGAAGAUUUUACACGAAGCACACAGUGGUAUUAUGUCCGUACAUCCGGGAGGUAAUAAAAUGUAUAAUGACUUAAAAAAAGAUGUAUUGGUGGCCGGAUAUGAAACGUGAUAUCUCUGAGUUUGUAUCAAGAUGUUUAGUAUGUCAGCAGGUUAAGGCUGAACAUCAGGUACCUUCGGGGUUGCUUCAGCCAAUCACUAUACCGGAAUGGAAAUGGGAAAGAAUCACUAUGGAUUUUGUAUCUGAGUUACCGUUAUCUCCGAGGAAGAAAGAUGCCAUUUGGGUAAUUGUCGAUCGAUUGACAAAGUCCGCGCACUUUAUCCCAGUAUGUAUGGAUUAUUCUUUAGAUAAAUUGGCUGGAUUGUAUAUAUCUGAGAUUGUUAGACUACAUGGAGUGCCUGUCUCCAUUAUAUCAGACAGAGAUUCCCUAUUUACGUCUCGUUUCUGGAACAAAUUGCAAGAAGCUUUGGGUACUCAGUUGUAUUUCAGUACUGCAUUUCAUCCUCAGACAGAUGGCCAAUCUGAGCGUGUAAUUCAGGUAUUGGAAGAUAUGCUCCGAUGUUGUGCAUUAGAGUUUCAAGGUAAUUGGGAAAGGUAUCUACCUUUGAUUGAAUUUGCUUAUAAUAACAGUUAUCAGUCCAGUAUUAAAAUGGCUCCGUAUGAAGCUUUGUAUGGUAGAAAAUGUAGAACACCAUUAUAUUGGACAGAGCUCAGUGAAAAGAAGAUACACGGGGUUGAUUUGAUUCGGGAAACAGAAGAAAAAGUAAGACUGAUUCGGGAUAGUUUAAAAGCAGCUUCCGAUCGUCAAAAGUCAUACGCCGAUCUUAAAAGAAGGGAGAUUGAAUUUCAGGUGGGUGAUAAAGCAUUCUUAAAAGUGUCUCCUUGGAAGAAAGUUCUCCGGUUCGGUCGAAAGGGUAAAUUGAGUCCAAGAUUUAUCGGACCAUAUGAGAUUAUAGAAAGAAUUAGACCAGUUGCUUACCGAUUGGCUUUACCACCGGAACUCGACAAAAUUCAUAAUGUAUUUCAUGUAUCUAUGCUACGACGGUAUCGAUCAGAUCCUUCACAUGUUAUUACUCCAACAGAAGUAGAAAUUCAGCCGGAUAUGACUUAUAAUGAAGAACCGGUUAAAGUAUUAGCACGAGAAAUAAAGGAGCUUAGAAACAAAAAGGUAAAUCUAGUGAAAGUGCUAUGGCAAAAGCACGGGAUUAAGGAAGCAACAUGGGAACCGGAAGAGACAACGAGGAAGCAAUACCCGAAUCUUUUUACUGGUAAGAUUUUCGAGGACGAAAAUCCUAAAAAGGGGGGGAGAGUUGUAAUGGCCCAAAUUUGAGGUUAUCGGAACAGUGGUUUCGGGACCACAAAUUCGAUGAGAAAAAUUUUAUUUUUCUUAUAUUUUUAUGGUCUACAAUUUCACAAAAUGAUUUUUUGAAAAUUUCGUUCGAAAAUUUCGACGUUUGGGCACUCAAUUUAGUCAAAAGGACUAAAUUGUAAAAAGUGCAAAAGUUGAGUUCUACAUGUUAGAGGUGUCCAAUUGUUAUGAAACUUUAAAUUGGAGGUCCUUAUAUGGUAAUUAUACCAUUGGUAACUUGGUAGACAAAAAUGGACAUGAGAUAAGUGAAAUAGAAAAUUUUUAAGUUAGGGGCAAUUUGGUAAUCUAGUAAUUAAAAUGAAUUAAAAGGGAAAAGGAUGGCAAAAAUCAUCAUCUUCUUCAUAUGAACGAAAUCAGCAAGGGGGGAAGCCAUAGUUAGGGUUUUCAAGCUUCCAAGCUCCAUAGUAAGUGAUCCCAAGCCCCGUUUUUAAUGUUCUUUACGUUUUUGAGAUCCCGGUAGCUUAAUUUAGCUUAUUCUAGCAAUAAUUUAACCUAGGGUUUAUAUUUGGAAAAAUACCCAUAGGUGAAAAGUGUUUAUUUUGAUGUUUUAUGAUAGAAUAUGAAGCUAUAAAUUAUGUUAAACAACUUUUGCUAAGCGAUUUUAAGUGAAAACGAGUAAAACGACAUAAUCGGUAAAAAUACCUAAUGUUCAUAAGUACAUGUUAGAGUGGGAAUUUGAUGUUGCCAUAGAAGGGAAAAAUGUUCAGAAUGUUAUAAAACAUAAGAAUAAGAGAUGAAGUUUAAUUUCCGAGCCUUGGGGCAAAAAUGUAAUUAUGUAAAAGUUUAGGGGCAAAAUUGUAAUUUUGAAAAAGUUAGAGUUGAGGGCUGUUUUGAUGAAUGUGAGAAUUAAAUAAGUUAAAUUUGCUAUUUUAGAUCAAGAAGAACGAAACUCGAGGUUAGACAAAGGGAAGAAUAAAGUUGAAGACUAAGUUGUUGAAUUGGACUAUAAUUGGUACCGAGGUAAGUUUAUGGUAAAUAAAUGCAAUAUUUCAAUAUUUAUUAUCAAUGCUGUUAUUUUCCAGCAACUAUGAAUUUAUUUUAUGAAUUUAUUUGAUGAUGAUCUAAGCAUGAAAUGAUAGAGAAUUAAAAUUAAAAAGUCCCGUUGAUACAUAAAGAUGGUACUGGAUACGAAUGUCAUGACAUUUGGGUAAAGAGAUCCCAUGUAAGACCAUGUCUGGGACAUGGCAUUGGCAUCCUUGAGAUCAUGAGAGGUCCCCUGUAAGACCAUGUCUGGGACAUGGCAUGGGCACCAAGACGAGAGGUCCCAUGUAAGACCAUGUCUGGGACAUGGCCUUGGCACCGAGAUGAGAGGUCCCCUAUAAGACCAUGUCUGGGACAUGGCAUGGGCACCAACAUGAGAACAUCCCAUGUAAGACCAUGUCUGGGACAUGGCUUUGGCAUGUUAUUAUCAGAAGAGACCCGAGUAUCCUUAUUAUUCCAAUGUAGCUCAACGGGCUUGUAAACGAAUCAUGUUCAUGAAAGUUCAGUUUAAAGCAUAAAUGGCAAGCUCAAGUAAGUUGUAAGACUUAAGAACUUAUUAUACUACCAAUUGAUGUUCAACGAUGCAGCAAGGAUUGAGUAAGUUAUGCACACAAGUAUUCUAAGUAAACAAGUAAGAUAACUAGUAUGAGAUUAACUAAAGAGUAAACUAGAGAUAUAGAUAUUGAGUUUAAUUAUUUAAGUUAAAUAUUGUUAUUUAUUUGCUAGUAAACUUACUAAGCUUUAUGCUUACUUCUUUUAUUUCUCUUUCUCUUAUAGUAUUGCAAAGCUACUUCAAGGAUCCUAAAGAAGUUGGAGAUCGUCCACACUAUCAACUACAACUGCUCGGUAUUUUAUAUCGAAACACGUUUGAGUUAUGGCAUGUAUAGGGAUUUAGUUAUUUUGUAUAUUUGUAAUGAUGAUUUUGCUAAUGAGUGAUGUGUAAGUAUUUGAUGAUGUAUGGUUAUUAAAAUGGUUAAGGAUGAAGGUGUUUGUUGUUAUGAAAGAUUAGGUGAUAAAUUAUGCAUGGAAAUCAUGAAAGGAUAAAAUUUUGCAAAGAAACAGAAUUCAGGCUGCAACAGUGACGUGACUUUGAAAAAUCACGCAAGAUAGUAUAAAAUGAAUUAGAGGGUGAAUAAUAUAUGGAAUUAAAGCUUGUUGAGUCUAUCUUCAUGGAAAAAUAACGGUGUAGCGAAAGGAAUUUUAUAUUUUAAGAUAUGUGAAUUUUCGUGAGACAGGGUCAGAAUAGUUUUUGAGUUUAGAAAAUCAUUAAAAAUUGUAAAAAAAUAGUUAUGAGUUAUAGUUUAUAUGUAUAGAUUUCUCAUUGAGUCUAUUUUCUGUAGAAACAAGUAAGAACUUCAUAUGAAAAUUCUACAGUGAGAAAAAUUAUUUUUAGUGACUAGAGGUCAGGGCAGUCAGGUGGUGAAACAGGGGAGACUUUAACUAAUAAACUGUACUAAUUUGAUGAACCAAAAAUUCUAAAAAUUUUAUGGUGAGUAUAUAUAUGAGUCUAGUUUCAUGGAAAAUUUACGGAAUUAAAUUUCGAGUUCUGUAGCUCAAGUUAUAAUUAAUUUAGUAACUGCUGCGCGAUUGGACAGAUUUGCUGCGAAUAAUGAAAUAAAAUUUCAAACCUAGUUUUUAUGCUCCGAAUUGGUAAGAUAAGCUAAGUAAUGCCUCGUGCUCGACUCCGGAAAUGGUCUCGGGUAAGGGGUGUUACACACGCCAAUUCCCAUGUCGUACAGGGAACUAUACCGAAAUUUAUUUGACGCACACGUAGUUUCCCCUUUUUAUCUGAAGCCCUUGCAACCCCUGUAUCCCAAAUGGUACGAUGCAAAUGCACAGUGCGAUUAUCAUGCGGGAAUAACGGGGCAUUCUACAAAAAACUGUACGGCUUUUAAGAAGUUGGUUGAAAGGCUCAUUGGUAUGGGAGUCGUUAAAUUUGACGACGCGACCAAGGCAGAAAAUCCAUUACCAGACCACACUGAUGGUGGGGUAAAUAUGGUGGGCGAAGACAGAAGAAUCAAGGCAGAUAUUGCGGAUGUAAAGACUCCUUUGAGAAGGGUCUGGAAGGAGAUGGUGAAAAGGGGACUAAUCGUCUCAGAAGAAAGCUGUGAAAGGAAGAGGAAUUACUGUGAGUUCCACCAUGAAGUGGGGCAUGAAAUCCAAGAAUGUACGGAGUUCAGAGCCCUGAUACAAGGCAUGAUGGACAAUUGGGAGGUGAAAUUCUGUGAAGGAGUUCAAGAGGAAAGUGAUGUAUGCGCAUCAGAGUUGGCGUUGGGGGUCCCAAAGGUUAACCGUCCCGUGGUCAUCAUUUCGCGACCUCAGAACAGUGAGGUUGGGGCACGAAUAACACCAAAGGUUAUCAUUCAAAAACCGACCGUGUUCACUUACAAGGAUAACAGGAGGGUUCCUUGGAAUUACAAUUGUAAUGUGACAAUCCCGGGGAAAAAGGAUAUGGUCAGUAAAGAGGAUCAGGAUAAAGGAAGGUACUGCGAACAGAUGAAAGAUCGAGUCGAGCCAAUAGGAGAGGAAACUUUAGUUGGAAAAAAGAAGAACGUGGUCAAACCCGAAUUGUUGGUCAAUGAACCAAUUAAGGAGGAGGAAACUAGAGAAUUCUUGAAGUAAAGCAUAGCGAGUACAGCGUUGUGGAGCAGCUGCACAAACAACCAGCUCGCAUAUCUGUGCUGGCUUUACUCCUGAACUCGGAGGGACAUCGAAAUGCACUACUGAAGGUGCUAAAUGAAACUUACGUGGCCGAUGAUAUCUCUGUUAACAAGUUAGAUCGACUGGUCAGCAAUAUAAGCGCUGAUAACUUCAUCUCUUUCAGCGAUGACGAAAUACCACCUGGGGGCAUGGGAUCAACCCGAGCUUUACACAUCACUGCAAGGUGUAAAUAGUGUAUAUUACCGGGAGUUUUGGUAGACAACGGGUCGGCGUUAAAUGUAUUGCCCCUAUCCACGCUCAACAGGCUACCUGUGGAUAGUUCGCAUAUGAAAUCGUGUCAGAACGUGGUGAGAGCAUUUGAUGGCACCGAGAGGAAAGUCAUGGGUAGAAUUGAGAUACCCUUGUUAAUUGGCCCAACUGUCUAUGAGGUAGAUUUCUUGGUUAUGGACAUCAAGCCUUCUUAAAGUUGCCUAUUAGGAAGGUCUUGGAUCCAUUCAGCAGGUGCGGUAUCGUCAUCGUUACAUCAAAAACUGAAGCUAGUGUCAGAAGGCCGGGUAGUGACGAUAGAUACUGAAGAGGAUAUCAUUGCAUCUGUGACUAACGAUGUACCUUAUUUGGAGAUGAGUGAUGAUACAAUCGAUUGCUCUUUCCGUUCCUUAGAGUUCGUAAAUGCAACAUUCAUCUUUGAGGGAAACAAGAUCCCGAUGCCGAGAAUAUCAAAGACUACAAAGAUGGGGCUGCAAUUGACAGUUGGAAAAGGAACUCUGCCAGGGAAAGGUUUGGGGAGAUAUCUUUAGGGCCGAGUUGAUAUUCCAGGGUUGCAAGACAAGCGGGACCGUUUUGGCUUAGGAUACAAGCCAGAUGUCAGGCAGAGGAGGAUAGAGCAAGAAAAGAAGCGAGAGAGAAGAAGGGCUCGUUUGACAGGUGAUGAAGUCAAAUGGGAAACCAUGACUUUUCCUCACCUAUCCAAGACUUUUGUAUCAAGAGGAUUUGUCUAUCAAGGAAUGCUAGGGGACAGAAGCAUUAACACGUAGUUAGAGGGUAUUCAUGCCGUGUAUGAAGAAGCGACGGGAGGAAGAACUUUGCUGGAUAUUUGUCCUUAUGAGUCGGAAAGGGAGCUAAACAACUGGACUGCAGAAGAAAUACCUGUAGUUUUUAGGAUUUCCUCAGAGUAAUGUCCAGAACACCCUUAUUGCUUUUUAGCCUAGAAGUGAUAAGGAUUCUUUUAUGAAAUAGGCUCAUGUCCAGAAAAUCGUUAUUUUAAUAAAGUUCAUGUUUUUCAGUCAUUUUUUGAAGCAAAUCUUUCUUUUCAUAAGAGCAGUUAUUUUGAAUUUCUCUCAAACUACACUUGUAUUUCAUUCAUGACCAUAUUGCACCAAACAAAUUCCUAAAUCCAUACUGUUCUUCAUAACAGGUCCUACGAUAUCAAUGAUACGAAUGUCACUCUUACAAAUUCAGAAUCCCCUUUUGAACGAAACAUGUGUUUAGAGGGGUCGCAUGAUUUUGAAGAUGUCGAAGACUGUGGUUUAUCUCCGGGCUUAUUGAAAAUGGUUAAACAGGCCGAGAAGCAAAUCUUACCUCAUAAGGAAUCAAUAGAAAUUGUGAGCUUGGAGGAAGGUAAAGAGGUGAAGAUCGGGUCGGAUAUCUCUGCAAAGACAAAACAAGACCGCAUCGAAUUACUCCGAGAGUUCAAGGACGUGUUAGCAUGGUCAUACCAGGAUAUGCCGGGGUUGAGUACCGACAUCGUAGUCCAUUGUCUUCCUAUAAGAGAAGAUUGCAAGCUAGUGCAGCAAAAGCUCAGAAGGAUGAGGCCUGAUAUCGUGUUGAAGAUAAAGGAGGAGGUCCAAAAGCAGUUUGAUGCCGGAUUUCUGCAAGAGGUCAAGUAUUCUGAGUGGGUGGCCAACAUCGUACCAGUUCCGAAGAAAGACGGGAAGGUGCGAAUGUGUGUGGAUUACAGGGAUUUGAACAAGGCUAGUCCAAAUGACAAUUUUUCAUUGCCCCACAUUGACACAUUGGUAGAUAAUACUACGGGCUUUUCAUUAUUUUCCUUCAUGGAUGGCUUUUCGGGGUACAAUCAGAUAAAGAUGCAUCCUGAAGACAUGAGAAAAACUACGUUCAUUACGUUAUGGGGGACGUUUUGUUAUAAAGUGAUGCCGUUUGGAUUAAAGAAUGCGGGAGCGACAUAUCAAAGAGCUAUGGUAGCCUUGUUCCAUGAUAUGAUGCACAGGGAGAUCGAAGUUUAUGUUGACGAUAUGAUCGCGAAGUCCAGAACGGAGGAGGAACAUGUGCAGGUCUUGAGAAAAUUAUUCUUAAGAUUGAGAAAGUUCCAGCUCAAGCUUAAUCCGGUGAAUUGCAUUUUUGGGGCUAGGUCAGGAAAAUUGUUAGGCUUUGUGGUCAGUGAAAAGGGAAUCGAGAUUGAUUCAGACAAAGUGAAGGCAAUACGGGAUUUACCUUCACCCCGCACUCAGAAAGAAGUUCGAGGAUUCCUCGGAAGACUGAACUACAUUGCUAGGUUCAUUUCACAACUAACCAAGAAAUGUGACUCUAUAUUUCGUCUUCUGAAGAAACAUAAUCCUGGUACUUGGGAUGAAGAAUGCGAAGAAGCCUUUAACAAGGUGAAGCAGUAUUUGUCUAAUACUCCAGUGCUGUCACCACCUAGCCCGGAUAGGCCCCUGAUAUUGUAUUUGACAGUAUUUGAUAAUUCCAUGGAGUGUGUGCUAGGCCAACAUGAUGAAACAGGGAGAAAAGAAAGGGCAAUAUAUUAUCUCAGCAAGAAAUUCACUGACUGUGAAAUGAGAUAUUAACCUAUUGAGAAGCUAUGUUGUGCCUUGAUUUGGACAACUCGGAGAUUAAGACAGUAUAUGUUAUACCACACGACUUGGCUAAUCUCAAAGUUAGACCCGUUAAAGUAUAUGAUGGAGUCAACUGCUUUGAAUGGGAUGAUGGCUCGAUGGCAGAUCUUAUUGUCUGAAUUUGAUAUUGUCUAUGUGAGCCAAAAGGCUGUGAAAGGGAGUGCAAUUGCUGACUUUCUGGCUAGCAGGGCUUUGGAAGAUUACGAAUCGUUAAGUUUUGAUUUUCCGAAUGAAGACCUGAUGUGUAUAGCCACUACUGAAGAAAAUCCCCAAAAAGGCCGCAGUUGGAAGCUAAACUUUGAUGGAGCCUCGAAUACUGUGGGCAAUGGAAUUGGGGCAGUCUUAGUAUCCCCGAAUGGUGAUCAUUAUCCUUUCACUUGCAAAUUGGAUUUUGAUUGUACAAACAACAUGGCAAAGUACGAAGCAUGCAUCAUGGGGAUUCGUGCAGCUAUAGAGCGAAGAGUCAAAGUGUUAUAGGUCUAUGGAGAUUCGGCAUUGGUGAUAUAUCAGCUCAGGGGUGAAUGGGAAACGAGAGAUCCCAAAUUAGUCAGUUAUCGAAAGUUGGUCCUCGAAUUGAUUAAGGAGUUUGAGGACAUCACUUUUUGCUAUCUCCCACGAGACGAGAACCAGAUGGCUUAUGCACUAGCUACUUUAGCCUCCAUGAUCAAGGUGAACAGAUAUGAGGAUAUGAAGCCAAUCCAAAUGAGUAUCUAUGAAGACCCGACUCAUUGUUACAAUAUUAAAAAAGGAGAAAUCGAUGAUAGUCCUUGGUAUCAAGAUAUACUACGAUAUGUAAAAAAUCGUGAGUAUCCUGGCCAAGCAACAGAGAAUGAAAAGAGAACUCUGAGAAGAUUAGCCAUUGAUUACGUCUUAGAUGGGGAGAUCUUAUACAAGAGGGGAAAAGAUCAGGUUCUGUUAAGAUGUGUGGACGCCGUGGAAGCAAAGAAAAUCCUGGAGGAAGUCCAUGAGGGCAUCUGCGGAACGCAUGCUAGUGGAUUCACAAUGGCUAGACAGAUUAUGAGAUUCGAGUAUUACUGGUCCACCAUGGAAGGGGAUUGCGUCAGUUAUUCCAAAAAGUGCCAUAAAUGUCAAAUCUAUGGUGAUAAAAUGCAUGCACCACCUUCGCCUCUUCAUGUCAUGACUUCUCCAUGGCCUUUCUCCAUGUGAGGUAUGGAUGUCAUCGGGUCAAUAUCGCCGAAGGCUUCAAAUGGGCAUCGUUUCAUAUUCGUGGUUAUUGACUACUUCACCAAAUGGGUAGAGGCUGCUUCGUAUGCUAACGUUACAAAGUCAUCAGUCAGUAAGUUCUUGAAAAGAGAGAUUAUAUGUCGGUAUGGAAUGCCUGAGAGAAUCAUAUCCGACAAUGCGUUGAACUUGAACAAUAGCUCAAUAGCAGAAGUCUGCAGUCAAUUCAAGAUCAGACAUCGCAAUUCGUCGUCGUAUCGCCCGAAAAUGAAUGGUGCAGUAGAAGCGGCCAAUAAAAAUAUAAAGAGGAUUGUAGGGAAUAUGACUGAGACUUACAGGGACUGGCACGAUAAAUUACCGUUUGCCCUCCUUGCUUAUCGAACGUCAACCAGGACCUCCACCGGGGCAACGCCUUUCUCCUUAGUCUAUGGCAUGGAGGCAGUCUUGCCCAUCGAAGUUUAAAAAUCCCUUCUCUCUGGGUUUUUUCUGAGCUACAAUUGGAUUAAGCGGAAUGGGUUCAAUCUCGAUACGAUCAGUUGAACUUGAUAGAGGGAAAGAGGCUAAAGGCUAUUCAGCAUGGUCAGAUGUACCAGAAAAGAAUGAUGCGAGCCUACAACAAGAAAGUCCGACCCAGAGAAUUUCACGAGGGGGACCUGGUGUUGAGAAAAAUUCUUCCUCUACAAAAGGAUUUUAGGGGGAAAUGGAUGCCGAAUUGGGAAGGUCCUUAUGUUGUAAAAAAGGCCUUUUCUGGAGGAGCCUUGAUCCUGGCUGAAAUGGAUGGAAAAAACUUGCCUAAUCCGGUAAAUUCAGAUUCGAUGAAGAGGUACUUUACUUGAAGAAAGGAAGGAACCAAUGUGAAAACCCGCAAAGGGCGCUUUGAUUCCAAAAAAAAAAUGGAGAGGCUAGGGUGAAAACCCGCAAAGGGCACCUUAAGACCAAAGGGGAUUUGAGUUGAAAACCCAAAAAAGGCGACUCAAAUUUUGAUUGUCGCGUGGUAGUAUUGUUGUACCUAAAUCGGCAGAAAGGAAUAGACGACAUCUUGGGGCAUCAACAAAAUACUGUGAAUUUCCUAAACACGUGUUGAAUUCAGAAGGGUCUUCGAAAAGCUGUAUAGAGAAGUUCAAGCAGAGAUAUCUGGGGCACAUGUUCAUAAUAUUUGUAUUGAAUUCAUUGUUUUAGAAUAUUUCAUUCUUUUCUUUCAAUAUAAAUAUCCCCAGAUAAUUCCUCUAUCAUUGACAAUCCAUCGCGAGUUAUGCUCCCAGAUUAAUUUUGUUUUAUUCGUCGUUAUGAUCUUCUCGCAAGCAUGUUGCAUUAGAAUGACGAUUAAUGGACUAGUAAAACUUUCACAAGGGAAGUUUUCGUAUUACUCUAGAAAUCUUUAAAUAGCUCAGGAACCUGAAACAGGACUAUUGUUUAGACCUUUAUCGGGUUAAAAGGUCGGAGAUAUCUAGGAGUUAAGAGUCAAAAUUGAAAUUUUCAAGUUUUGACGAAGCGUUGUUGUCACAAAGGAAGCCUUAAUGAGCAAUAAUGACUUUAAACAUUCAAUAUUCAUUUUUCAUGACAUAACAUCCAAAUGUCAUUCAUACACGCCUAGUUAGGAGCAUUUGAUUCAUUCUGAUCAUGACAUCCUAGUCAUUAGGCAUAAUUAGGCUCAUAAAGUGAAUCAUACAGGUCAUGUUUCACAGGGAGCAGAUUGGUGAAAUCAUAAAGCCUUGUCUCCCUGAGCAACAGUGGAGCAGGUUGAAAAGCAGCAGAUCUUGCCUUCCCACACUGGUGGCGAAGCAGAUCAAAGAAAGUAGAUCUUGUCUUCAUGUACUGGCAUGAAGUAGAUCAAAGGUAACAGAUCUUGCCUUCCCAUACUAGUGGCGAAGCAGAUCAAAGGAAAAAACAGAUCUUGUCUUCAUGUACUGGCGUGAAGUAGAUCAAAGACAUCAGGUCCUGUCUUCCUAUAUCGGUAGCGAAGUGGAUCGAAUAUACAAGUUUUAUCUUCCCAUACUGGUGGCGAAGUAGAUCGAGGAAAACAGAUCUUAUCUCCCUAAGCAGUAGUGGAGCAGAUCGAAGAUGGCAGAUUUUACCUCCCUGAAGUGGCAGUAGAGUAUAUUGAAGCCAGUAAUUCUAUCUCCCCAUACUGGUGGUGGAGUAUAUUGAAGAAAGCAGAUCUUGUCUUCACGUACUGGCAUGAAGUAGAUCAAAGAAAGCAGAUCUUGUCUUCCCACACUGGUGGUGAAGUAGAUCGAAGAUACAAGUCUUAUCUCCCUGAAGUUGCAGUGGAGCAGACAAAAGUAACCAAUCCUAUCUCCUUGAAGUUGCAAUGGAGUGGAUUAAAACCGCAGAUCUCAUCUCUCUGAAGUUGCAGUAGAGUAGAUCACAUCAGAUUUACCCUUAAGUCGUAACAAAGCAAAUUGAAUCUAUAAGUCUUAUCUUCCUGAAGUUGCAGUGGAGCAGAUUAAAGAUAGCAGAUUUUGUUCUUUUGAGAAGAUACAACAUAUGAAUCCUAUCUCCCCGACAUUCCAGUGGGGUGGACUGGAGCGCCAGUUCCUAUACCUUUGAAGAUGCAGUAGGAAGGAAUGAGGUUACUUAAAGAAUAGAAGCAUUAAAGAAGCUGGGGCUCAAUAAGACUGGGCACAAUUGGGCUUUGUAGUCUUUGCUCUAUUCCCGUUAUACGACAAUGAGCAAAGAGGGGCAGCUGUAAUAGGGCCCAAUUGACCCAGGUCCAAACAAAAUUAAAAAACAGUCCAACAAAUACAGGCCCAAAACUAACCUAAACCCCAAAUCAUUAAACCAAACCCCAAAACAACCCUGGCCCAAAAAAAAAGAAAGAACCCUAGCCCUAAGGAGCGCCGCAGCAAGCCUUCAGGUGCGCCCAGCAGCCUCGCGUCGCACCUAACACCCAGUCGCCGCACAACUCGGAGGUCGACCCUUCUCCACGCACGUCACCUGCGAAAACACGGACUUAGAGAGUCCCAGAGAGAAGAAGCAGCAAAAAACAGCAUUUAGAUUAUUUUAUUUUCUUUAUUUUCGACCUAUAAAAGGCCUAUCAAAUCUGAAAAAGAGGGGGGGAUAUACAGAGAGAUAGACAAAAAAAUUGAAAGAAAAGCAGAGAAUACACAGUUUUAAGGUGAAUCGAGUUUUUUUUUAUAUUUAUGUUUUCUUCUCUUUUUUUGCGUUUAAAAAAAAACAAAUAAUAACAAAGAAAAGGGGAAAAAUUUUACCCCAUUCACCGAGGACGCCAGACUGGUGGCCGUUUCCGUCGUGAUCGGAGCGCCGGUGUGGGCCUAGGGCGGCGCGAGGACGCUAGGGUCCCAAGCCCUAGCAGAGCAUUAGAGAAACGUUUUUUUAUUUUUAUUUUUU